CCUACGGGAGGCAGCAGUGGGGAAUUUUGGACAAUGGGCGAAAGCCUGAUCCAGCAAUGCCGCGUGAGUGAAGAAGGCCUUCGGGUUGUAAAGCUCUUUUGUCAGGGAAGAAACGGUGGGAGCUAAUAUCUCUUGCUAAUGACGGUACCUGAAGAAUAAGCACCGGCUAACUACGUGCCAGCAGCCGCGGUAAUACGUAGGGUGCAAGCGUUAAUCGGAAUUACUGGGCGUAAAGCGUGCGCAGGCGGUUUUGUAAGUCUGAUGUGAAAUCCCCGGGCUCAACCUGGGAAUUGCGUUGGAGACUGCAAGGCUAGAAUCUGGCAGAGGGGGGUAGAAUUCCACGUGUAGCAGUGAAAUGCGUAGAUAUGUGGAGGAACACCGAUGGCGAAGGCAGCCCCCUGGGUCAAGAUUGACGCUCAUGCACGAAAGCGUGGGGAGCAAACAGGAUUAGAUACCCUGGUAGUCCACGCCCUAAACGAUGUCUACUAGUUGUCGGGUCUUAAUUGACUUGGUAACGCAGCUAACGCGUGAAGUAGACCGCCUGGGGAAGUACGGUCGCAAGAUUAAAACUUCGAAAGGAAUUGACGGCUUGGNGAGNGCGAGGCGACGACGAGGGAGGAGG
This 622-nucleotide ribosomal RNA is filed under the name uncultured bacterium. RNAcentral describes it as "bacterial SSU rRNA". It matches the Rfam family "Bacterial small subunit ribosomal RNA", at positions 338 to 951 of the family's 1533-position model. The record is from RNAcentral.